AUUGAUAAGAACUUAUGCAGCUGCUGGAAAGACAAGCAAUGUGAUUCAUCGCCGACUGAAGAUGGAGAAUGUAGAGCUGAGCGAGGCAAGUAAAAAGUUGCUUGAAGUGAUUAGUGUGGAGUGAGUUUUAAUUGCUGUUUCAGUUUUGUUGUUAUAGUUUCAAUUCCUUUAGAAGCAAAUUUUAAAUGUUUCUAACUUGCAAUUUUGUUUCAAUAAUGAAAUGUGUCUAUGUGAUGAAGAAUCACAUAGUAAUAGUGUAGGCGCA
RNAcentral lists this unclassified non-coding RNA (265 nucleotides) under Hevea brasiliensis (rubber tree). Lineage: Eukaryota; Viridiplantae; Streptophyta; Magnoliopsida; Malpighiales; Euphorbiaceae. The record is from RNAcentral.